Molecule: ribosomal RNA, 134 nt
Filed under: uncultured eukaryote
Lineage: Eukaryota
Description: partial small subunit ribosomal RNA
Rfam family: Eukaryotic small subunit ribosomal RNA
Source: RNAcentral
CCCUGCCAUUUGUACACACCGCCCGUCGCUCCUACCGAUUGAAUGUUCCGGUGAACACUCGAGAGUCGUGACCUGGAUUGGGGCAACUCAUCUUGGUCAACGGUGAACUUGUGUAAACCUUAACAUUUAGAGGA